GGUUUUGUAGUCAAUAAUGAUUUUAAAUUGCAAAUUUAAAGGUAAAUUUUUUUCUAAACCU
This 61-nucleotide transfer RNA is filed under the name Litargus balteatus. RNAcentral's name for it is "tRNA-Cys". The record is from RNAcentral. RNAcentral also lists the same sequence under 1 other name. Lineage: Eukaryota; Metazoa; Arthropoda; Insecta; Coleoptera; Mycetophagidae.